UCUGGUGGCGAUAGCGAAGAGGUCACACCCGUUCCCAUGCCGAACACGGAAGUUAAGCUCUUCAGCGCCGAUGGUAGUUGGGGGUCUCCCCCUGUGAGAGUAGGACGUUGCCGGGU
RNAcentral lists this ribosomal RNA (116 nucleotides) under Bacillus sp. SA1-12. Lineage: Bacteria; Bacillati; Bacillota; Bacilli; Caryophanales; Bacillaceae. The record is from RNAcentral.